CCUACGGGUGGCAGCAGUGGGGAAUAUUGCACAAUGGGGGAAACCCUGAUGCAGCGACGCCGCGUGAGUGAAGAAGUAUUUCGGUAUGUAAAGCUCUAUCAGCAGGGAAGAAAAUGACGGUACCUGACUAAGAAGCCCCGGCUAACUACGUGCCAGCAGCCGCGGUAAUACGUAGGGGGCAAGCGUUAUCCGGAUUUACUGGGUGUAAAGGGAGCGUAGGCGGUGGUGCAAGUCAGAAGGGAAAGCCCGGGGCUGAACACCGGGACUGCUUUUGAAACUGUGGGACUUGCGUGCAGGAGGGGUAAGCGGAAUUCCUGGUGUAGCGGUGAAAUGCGGAGAUAUCAGGAGGAACACCAGUGGCGAAGGCGGCUUACUGGACUGUAACUGACGUUGAGGCUCGAAAGCGUGGGGAGCAAACAGGAUUAGAUACCCGUGUAGUC
Molecule: ribosomal RNA, 440 nt
Filed under: uncultured bacterium
Lineage: Bacteria
Description: partial 16S ribosomal RNA
Rfam family: Bacterial small subunit ribosomal RNA
Source: RNAcentral